CAGAUUAAAUGCAAGUUCCUCCGGAGCCACAAAAGACUUUAUGCUACUUUUUCCACAUCUGCAAUUGUAUUCUCCAAGAGCUGUAAACAAACUUUAAUUUAUGAAAAACUUUAACUUGAACUACGCGCCAAAUGUUGUGAUUUCUUAAAAAUCGAUAUCUUAAAACCUCUGACUGAAACAUAACUGAUAUCUUCACAAAUAAUUCAGCCUUGCAACAUAAUCCAGUGAUGAAUAAUGGAGUGACUUGUUUCCAAAAAGAAAACAUAUUGUAUUUCAUUAAAACUAACAGCUGUCAGUUUAGGUACACAUAACUAAAAGAAAUGCUGCAGCCAAACACAACAGUCCUGCAAUCAAUUCUACCCCUGUGGAGGUUAUAAUGCUGAGUUUUGGUUGAAACUGUUUCAGAGAGGUGCUGAUUAAACUGUAUGAUGCGUUUGGAGGAUGUAGCCUGCGGUGCCGUUGAAGUAUACGUAGAUGUAUCUAAUAAACUGAGAACUGAGUGAGGUGCACACAGUUUUAAAAGUGUGAUGUGUCAGAAAGCAAUUUGUGGAUUCUUUCUACUUAAUCACAACUUUUUAAGUUGUUGGCCUGCAUGUGUUUCAGAAGUUAAUGAUUAAUUUCACUUCUGAUCGCAGAUAAAAUACAAAGGAGAUGGUUACAGUUACAGCACAAACGUUCAAAUUCAGUUGGUUUUAUGGUCAUUAGCAGGUGUCACUAAGGGGAAUUUGGAGCCAUGUUGGCUCUGUGCAGUGGCUGCAGCUCAUUGCAGCAGCAGGUCAGGCUGUCUGUGUGACACAGGUAGGAAAUGCAAAUGAGACCAGUUAGAGCUGCUCUUCACAUUCUCACUGUAUCGCUCACCCUCAAUCUUCAAAACCAUUUGCAUUCAAGAACCGAAACAAAGACAUUUCCUCAUGACUUGAGCUGUGAGACUCGACCCCAAAUCAUGACAAUGAGCUUCUUUGGAAAACUGAAGAACCUGUAAGUAUUACGGCGACCAUCAGCACAACCUCUUUAGAUUUGCUGUUCAUUUGUUCUGCAUGUGAUAAAAAAUGGUAGUCCAGCAUCUUACCUCUUCUUCCUCUCUCUGUCAGACACAGUGGACCUCCAGCUCCACCCAGAAGGACAGGUGAGAUGUAACCUCACCUUUGUUUUUGUCUACGUUUCUUUUACUGCAUUACAAGCUUUGUUAUCUAUCAGCAUCUUUUUUCACUCCGUCUGUUUCAGAUGACAAUGCAGGAUGGCCACAGGAUGAGUUUGUGAGUAGAAAUAAAAUAAGUUCAUAAAUGUGUUUUUACUUACUUCUAGGAUUUAAAAAGUGCAUUUCCCCCUGUUAUUUUAUAUGUUUCUUU
RNAcentral lists this long non-coding RNA (1349 nucleotides) under Sparus aurata (gilthead seabream). RNAcentral describes it as "lncRNA (ENSSAUG00010025187.1)". The record is from RNAcentral. Lineage: Eukaryota; Metazoa; Chordata; Actinopteri; Spariformes; Sparidae.